Molecule: ribosomal RNA, 406 nt
Filed under: uncultured bacterium
Lineage: Bacteria
Description: partial 16S ribosomal RNA
Rfam family: Bacterial small subunit ribosomal RNA
Source: RNAcentral
AUUGAACGCUGGCGGCAGGCCUAACACAUGCAAGUCGAACGAGUGGCGGACGGGUGAGUAAUGUCUGGGAAACUGCCUGAUGGAGGGGGAUAACUACUGGAAACGGUAGCUAAUACCGCAUACCAUCAGAUGUGCCCAGAUGGGAGUGGCGAGUGGGUGGGGUAACGGCUCACCAAGGCGACGAUCCCUAGCUGGGCUGAGAGGAUGAGCAGCCACACGGGAACGGUGACACGGUCCAGAGUCCUACGGGAGGCAGCAGUGGGGAAUAUUGCACAAUGGGCGAAAGCCUGAUGCAGCCAUGCCGCGUGUAUGAAGAAGGCCUGCGGGUUGUAAAGUACUAUCAGCGGGGAGGCGUUACCCGCAGAAGAAGCACCGGCUAACUCCGUGCCAGCAGCCGCGGUAAUAC